RNAcentral lists this ribosomal RNA (203 nucleotides) under uncultured bacterium. RNAcentral describes it as "partial 16S ribosomal RNA". It matches the Rfam family "Bacterial small subunit ribosomal RNA", at positions 1290 to 1500 of the family's 1533-position model. The record is from RNAcentral.
AGUUCGGAUUGGAGUCUGNAACCCGACUCCAUGAAGCUGGAUUCGCUAGUAAUCGCGCAUCAGCCACGGCGCGGUGAAUACGUUCCCGGGCCUUGUACACACCGCCCGUCAAGCCAUGGAAGCCGGGGGUGCCUGAAGUGCGUGACCGCAAGGAGCGCCCUAGGGUAAAACCGGUGACUGGGGCUAAGUCGUAACAAGGUAAC